RNAcentral lists this transfer RNA (82 nucleotides) under Leptotrombidium deliense. RNAcentral's name for it is "tRNA-Ser for anticodon AGA". It matches the Rfam family "tRNA". Rfam says of the family: Transfer RNA (tRNA) molecules are approximately 80 nucleotides in length. Their secondary structure includes four short double-helical elements and three loops (D, anti-codon, and T loops). The record is from Rfam by way of RNAcentral. Lineage: Eukaryota; Metazoa; Arthropoda; Arachnida; Trombidiformes; Trombiculidae.
GCAGUCGUGGCCGAGUGGUUAAGGCGACGGACUAGAAAUCCGUUGGGGUCUCCCCGCACAGGUUCGAAUCCUGUCGACUGCG